RNAcentral lists this ribosomal RNA (447 nucleotides) under uncultured bacterium. RNAcentral describes it as "bacterial SSU rRNA". It matches the Rfam family "Bacterial small subunit ribosomal RNA", at positions 330 to 793 of the family's 1533-position model. The record is from RNAcentral.
GCCAGACUCCUACGGGAGGCAGCAGUGGGGGAUAUUGCACAAUGGGGGAAACCCUGAUGCAGCGACGCCGCGUGGGUGAAGAAGUAUUUCGGUAUGUAAAGCCCUAGCAGCAGGGAAGAAAGAAGACGGUACCUGACUAAGAAGCCCCGGCUAACUACGUGCCAGCAGCCGCGGUAAUACGUAGGGGGCGAGCGUUAUCCGGAUUCACUGGGUGUAAAGGGAGCGUAGACGGCCGUGCAAGCCAGGAGUGAAAGCCCGGGGCCCAACCCCGGGACUGCUCUUGGAACUGUGCGGCUGGAGUGCGGGAGGGGCAGGCGGAAUUCCUGGCGUAGCGGUGAAAUGCGUAGAUAUCAGGAGGAACACCGGCGGCGAAGGCGGCCUGCUGGACCGUGACUGACGUUGAGGCUCGAGAGCGUGGGGAGCAAACAGGAUUAGAUACCCUAGUAU